GACGAACGCUGGCGGCGUGCUUAACACAUGUAAGUCGGACGGUAAGGCCCUGCUUUUGUUCUUUUUUCAUGUGUUGCACGCGUGUGUGUCACGUGUGUAUCCUCCCCUUUACUUUGGGAUAUCUUCAGUAAACUGGGUCUCUUACCCCAUAUGACCUCCUGCUGCAUGUUUGGUUUUGUAAAGUUUCGCCGGUUCGGGAUGGCCUCGCGGCUUAUCAGCUUGUUGGUGGGGUAGUGGCUUACUAAGUCGUUGACGCGUCGCCGGCCUGGGAGGGUGACAGGCCACAGUGGGACAGAGAUACGGGCAAGACUCAGACGGGAGGAAGCAGUGGGGAAUAGUGCAAAAGGGGCGGAAGCAGGAUGGAGCAACGCCGCGUGCGAGAUGACGGCCGUAGGGUUGGAAACCGCGUUAGACUGUGAAGAAGAGUGAGUGACGGUAAUGGGUAAAGAAGCAACGGCUAACUACGUG
Molecule: ribosomal RNA, 468 nt
Filed under: uncultured bacterium
Lineage: Bacteria
Description: partial 16S ribosomal RNA
Rfam family: Bacterial small subunit ribosomal RNA
Source: RNAcentral